Molecule: ribosomal RNA, 748 nt
Filed under: Salmonella enterica subsp. enterica serovar Paratyphi B
Lineage: Bacteria; Pseudomonadati; Pseudomonadota; Gammaproteobacteria; Enterobacterales; Enterobacteriaceae
Description: bacterial LSU rRNA
Rfam family: Bacterial large subunit ribosomal RNA
Source: RNAcentral
AGUGGAAGCGUCUGGAAAGGCGCGCGAUACAGGGUGACAGCCCCGUACACAAAAGCGCAUGUGCUGUGAGCUCGAUGAGUAGGGCGGGACACGUGGUAUCCUGUCUGAAUAUGGGGGGACCAUCCUCCAAGGCUAAAUACUCCUGACUGACCGAUAGUGAACCAGUACCGUGAGGGAAAGGCGAAAAGAACCCCGGCGAGGGGAGUGAAAAAGAACCUGAAACCGUGUACGUACAAGCAGUGGGAGCCCCACCACUAAGCCAGUGGUGAACUCCACAUACGCAUCCUUUGCUGAGGAUAAGGUUAACGGAGCGAAAGCGACGUUCAACCGCAAAAGAAGCAGAGGGGGCUUAGUGGUGGGGUGACUGCGUACCUUUUGUAUAAUGGGUCAGCGACUUAUAUUCUGUAGCAAGGUUAACCGUAUAGGGGAGCCGCAGGGAAACCGAGUCUUAACCGGGCGUUAAGUUGCAGGGUAUAGACCCGAAACCCGGUGAUCUAGCCAUGGGCAGGUUGAAGGUUGGGUAACACUAACUGGAGGACCGAACCGACUAAUGUUGAAAAAUUAGCGGAUGACCUGUGGCUGGGGGUGAAAGGCCAAUCAAACCGGGAGAUAGCUGGUUCUCCCCGAAAGCUAUUUAGGUAGCGCCUCGUGAAUUCAUCUCCGGGGGUAGAGCACUGUUUCGGCUAGGGGGCCAUCCCGGCUUACCAACCCGAUGCAAACUGCGAAUACCGGAGAAUGUUAUCACGGG